RNAcentral lists this ribosomal RNA (253 nucleotides) under uncultured bacterium. RNAcentral's name for it is "partial 16S ribosomal RNA". It matches the Rfam family "Bacterial small subunit ribosomal RNA", at positions 524 to 776 of the family's 1533-position model. The record is from RNAcentral.
UACGUAGGGUGCAAUCGUUAAUCGGAAUUACUGGGCGUAAAGCGUGCGCAGGCGGCUUUGCAAGACAGAUGUGAAAUCCCCGGGCUUAACCUGGGAACUGCAUUUGUGACUGCAUGGCUGGAGUGCGGCAGAGGGGGAUGGAAUUCCGCGUGUAGCAGUGAAAUGCGUAGAUAUGCGGAGGAACACCGAUGGCGAAGGCAAUCCCCUGGGCCUGCACUGACGCUCAUGCACGAAAGCGUGGGGAGCAAACAGG